CACUCUUCCAGCCAUCAUCAUUGUCUUCAACCUGAAUGAUGUGGCAUCUCUGGAACAUACCAAGCAGUGGCUGGCUGAUGCCCUGAAGGAGAAUGACCCUUCCAGUGUGCUUCUCUUCCUUGUAGGUUCCAAGAAGGAUCUGAGUGUGAGUGUGCCAGUGGGGGGACUUCCCAACUUGGUGAGGGAAUGCCCCCCUCUGACUCUGGCCUUCCCUCAGACCCCUGCUCAGUAUGCGCUGAUGGAGAAAGAUGCCCUCCAAGUGGCCCAGGAGAUGAAGGCUGAGUACUGGGCAGUCUCGUCUCUCACUGGUGAGUUGGAGGCUUUAGGGCUCUGCUGUGACACUCUUGCCUGGCUCUCCUCUCACUGCUACACCUCCAGCUGUGCCCUGUGUCCCCAGACCCGGCACUGCCCCUGAGCACCUAUCUGCUCCCUGU
RNAcentral lists this small RNA (434 nucleotides) under Pongo abelii (Sumatran orangutan). Its description in RNAcentral is "retained intron". Lineage: Eukaryota; Metazoa; Chordata; Mammalia; Primates; Hominidae. The record is from RNAcentral.